GUGGGGAAUUUUGGACAAUGGGCGCAAGCCUGAUCCAGCAAUGCCGCGUGCAGGAAGAAGGCCUUCGGGUUGUAAACUGCUUUUGUACGGAACGAAACGGUCCUGGUUAAUACCCGGGGAUAAUGACGGUACCGUAAGAAUAAGCACCGGCUAACUACGUGCCAGCAGCCGCGGUAAUACGUAGGGUGCAAGCGUUAAUCGGAAUUACUGGGCGUAAAGCGUGCGCAGGCGGUGCUGUAAGACAGGCGUGAAAUCCCCGGGCUUAACCUGGGAAUUGCGCUUGUGACUGCAGUGCUGGAGUGCGGCAGAGGGGGAUGGAAUUCCGCGUGUAGCAGUGAAAUGCGUAGAUAUGCGGAGGAACACCGAUGGCGAAGGCAAUCCCCUGGGCCUGCACUGACGCUCAUGCACGAAAGCGUGGGGAGCAAACAGGAUUAGAUACCCUAGUAGUCC
This 450-nucleotide ribosomal RNA is filed under the name uncultured bacterium. Its description in RNAcentral is "partial 16S ribosomal RNA". It matches the Rfam family "Bacterial small subunit ribosomal RNA", at positions 354 to 796 of the family's 1533-position model. The record is from RNAcentral.